Molecule: ribosomal RNA, 659 nt
Filed under: uncultured bacterium
Lineage: Bacteria
Description: bacterial SSU rRNA
Rfam family: Bacterial small subunit ribosomal RNA
Source: RNAcentral
CGAUGGCGACCGGCGCACGGGUGAGUAACGCGUAUGCACCUGCCCGAUACCGGGGUAUAGCCCAUGGAAACGUGGAUUAACACCCCAUAGUCCUGCAUGGGUAAAUGUUCAAGGUAUCGGAUGGGCAUGCGUCCUAUUAGUUAGUUGGCGGGGUAACAGCCCACCAAGACGAUGAUAGGUAGGGGUUCUGAGAGGAAGGUCCCCCACAUUGGAACUGAGACACGGUCCAAACUCAUACGGGAGGCAGCAGUGAGGAAUAUUGGUCAAUGGACGAGAGUCUGAACCAGCCAAGUCGCGUGAGGGAAGACUGCCUAUGGGUUGUAAACCUCUUUUAUAAGGGAAGAAAAGUUCUACGUGUAGAAUGAUGCCUGUACCUUAUGAAUAAGGAUCGGCUAACUCCGUGCCAGCAGCCGCGGUAAUACGGAGGAUCCGAGCGUUAUCCGGAUUUAUUGGGUUUAAAGGGAGCGUAGAUGGAUGUUUAAGUCAGUUGUGAAAGUUUGCGGCUCAACCGUAAAAUUGCAGUUGAUACUGGAUAUCUUGAGUGCAGUUGAGGCAGGCGGAAUUCGUGGUGUAGCGGUGAAAUGCUUAGAUAUCACGAAGAACUCCGAUUGCGAAGGCAGCCUGCUAAGCUGCAACUGACAUUGAGGCUCGAAAGUGUG